Molecule: ribosomal RNA, 592 nt
Filed under: uncultured bacterium
Lineage: Bacteria
Description: bacterial SSU rRNA
Rfam family: Bacterial small subunit ribosomal RNA
Source: RNAcentral
GAACGCUGGCGGCAGGCUUAACACAUGCAAGUCGAGCGGGCACUUUCGGGUGUCAGCGGCGGACGGGUGAGUAACGCGUGGGAACGUGCCUUCUGGUUCGGAAUAACUCAGGGAAACUUGAGCUAAUACCGGAUACGCCCUUUUGGGGAAAGGUUUACUGCCGGAAGAUCGGCCCGCGUCUGAUUAGCUAGUUGGUGGGGUAACGGCCUACCAAGGCGACGAUCAGUAGCUGGUCUGAGAGGAUGAUCAGCCACACUGGGACUGAGACACGGCCCAGACUCCUACGGGAGGCAGCAGUGGGGAAUAUUGGACAAUGGGCGCAAGCCUGAUCCAGCCAUGCCGCGUGAGUGAUGACGGCCCUAGGGUUGUAAAGCUCUUUUACCUGGGAAGAUAAUGACGGUACCGGGAGAAUAAGCCCCGGCUAACUUCGUGCCAGCAGCCGCGGUAAUACGAAGGGGGCUAGCGUUGUUCGGAUUUACUGGGCGUAAAGCGCACGUAGGCGGACGCUUAAGUCAGGGGUGAAAUCCCGAGGCUCAACCUCGGAACUGCCUUUGAUACUGGGUGUCUUGAGUCCGGAAGAGGUGAGUGGAAC